GGGCGAGUCCGGGACCAGGGAGAAUGGGUCGCACGGGGCAGGCUGCGGAGGGGGAUGCAGCUGGCUUAGGGUCGGUGUUCGUCACGGUGUUACUGACACUGGCGCUCUCUAUACCAACCACUGCGCUGCUGGUUGUGUACUUCAAGUGUGACAGCCAGCUGGCAUCGAACCACCAGGGAACUGAUAACUCCUCCAAGUGGGCCGAGCCAUCAGGGACAGUCAGCACUGAAGGGGAGCCACUGAGUAUCGUCAACACUGGCAAGCCAGCUGCCCAUCUUAUUGGGAUAUACCAGGACCCAGCAGAGGGUGAGGUGCACCGCACCCUGAUGUGGGAGUCAGUGAGAGGGUCAGCCUUCACCACCAACCUGGUGAAGUACCAUGGCCACUCACUGAUCGUGCCCAAGCGGGGCCUCUACUACGUCUACUGUCAGGUGGGCUUCCGGGGCAGCGAGUGCCAGGAGAAGCCCCUCACCCUCUCCCACCAGGUGUACCGACGGCAUGACUCCUAUCCCCAGCCCCUUCUGUUGCUCACUGGGACCGAGACCGUGUGUGGAAGAAGCCAGGGUCGAGGCAUCUGGUACACAACGCUCAGCCAUGGCGCAAUGGUGGAGCUGGAACAAGACCACCACCUCUAUGUUAACGUCAGCAACCCCACCUUGGUCGACUACCUGGAUGGCAAGACCUUCUUUGGAGUCAUCAAGAUCUGAUCAAGGGGUCCGGGGAAGGGUUGGGGCAGGUUACUUUUCCCCAUCUUCCCUCUCUGUUUUGCCUUUUGUUUUUAAGAUCUAUGUAUAUCCUAUCUGAUUUUUCAACUGCUUGCAACAGUCUGGCAAGAUACAGAAGCCUGGUUAUGUAGGAAGAGGGUAGGAGAGGGGUUUGGUUGAGAAAGGUCUCAGUCCAAAAUGUCAACUGUUCAUUCCCCUGCCUGACCUGCUGAGUUCCUGCAGCAUUUUGUGUGUGUUGCUUAAGAUUUCCAGCAUCUGCAGAGCCUGCUGCUGAUGUAGGGUCUCUGCCCAAAGCAUCCACUGCAUUUUUCCUUCUAUAUACGCUACCUGCCCUGCUGAGCUCCUGCAGCAUUUUGUGUUUGGUGCUCAAGAUUUCCAGAAUCUGUAGAAUCUCUUGUGUUUCUUAAUUAGUCAAGUCCAGGCUAUUGGAGAAUAGCAGUAGAAGUGGUCAAAGAGGUGAAGCAAGAAGGAUUCAUGAGGGCCUGGGUCACAAGGGUUGAAGGUCUGAGCAAGUCUAAAAUUCAAAGCCUGAAGGUCAAGCACAUGAUAAACAUGAUUAACAAGUCCAGGGGUCAAGUGGUACCACACUUCUGGUGCCAACAGAGCAUGCGCACAGUUCACUAAAGCCAACCUUUGGAAUGUUUGUGGAACCCAGAUGAAAGCCAUGUGGUCGUGGGGGAUGUGCGAGCUCCUCACAAACAGAGGCAGGACUUGAACUGCGAUUACUGGUGCAGCCAGUACGGUACCAUUCCAUCCUACUUGAUAGAGCUUGAAGUGACUAUCUGUAGGGUGUCAAAGUAUAAUGGCAUCAUUGCCAAGUGAAUGAGGUGGUCAUCGGUAAUUGGUUUACGUUAUUGCUUAUUGUUAUUCUUUCAUGAUGGAGACCCUGGAGUCGUCUGGGGUGGAGAAAUCCAAAGGCUGAGUAAAGACUGACCCCUCACCUCUGUCCAGAACAGCCAACUGUUUAUUUUGAGACUGUGAACCCUAAUUCCAGACAUUCAAUCAGGGGAGGUGGCAAAUCUUCCCAAAAUUAGACUAGAUCACCUCCCACUUGUCCAGCACCGGACAGGUUAAUUUGAUAAAUUGCCACACUGUCCAUUGAUCCCCGAAUUUAAUCCUAGCCUACUCAUGGAUCAGUUUAUAAUUCUGAUAGGUCUUGGAGUGUGGGAGGAAACCGGAGCACCAGGAGGAAACCCACAUGGUCGGGAGGAGAAGGUACAAACUCCUUACAGGCAGUGGCAGGAUUUGAAUCCUUAUCGCCUGUACUGUAAAGCAUUGUGCCACUACCGUGCCACUCCCUGUAUCAAAGUGCAGGGAAAAAAGGUUGUUUUGCAUGUCAUUUCAUUUAAUUGUACUGUAUCAGUGCAUUGAGGUUGUACAAGGGAAAAAUAGUUAGAAAAUGCAGAAUAAACCGAAUCACAAACGAGAGUCAAACAGGACACGAAUUGUUCCAGUUGCUCCAGCAUUUCGUGCGUGCGCGUUGCAGAAGAGAAGUGUUACAGUUAUUUUAGCAUAGCGGUUAGUGCAUCGUUUUACAGUGCCAGCGAUCGGGGUCAAUGCCUGCAGGGAGUUCUCCCCGUGACCGGGCGCUUCGGUUUCUUCCCGCAUUCCUAAAGCGUACAGGUUAGGCUGUUGGCGCAGGAAGCGCGUCGAAGCUUGCGGACUGCGCCCUAGCACAUCCUCGGACUGUGAAACAUUUGGUCUUUGACGCAGUUUCAGUAUACAGGUCACAAAUAUAGCUAAUCUUUAAUCUUUAGAGAAAAUGCUACUCAAGCAGACAACACGGUUCAAGGGCCACGACGAUGUAGUUAGAUCGAGCGUUCAAUGACGUCAAAUGUUUCACUCCUUAAAGAAUGGAGCGUCUCCCACUCGCUCAUGCGGGCCUCUGCAGGCCCCACCCGGGGAUCAAGCUGGAAUUCUGCCGUUAAGAGCUGGAAAGGAGCGGCAGCCGGAGAGAUGAUGGGCGGACGGGGCUACAGCGGGACUCGGAGGACGAAGCCUGACAUCUAUUAAUCUCGGGUUGCGUGGGCAGCGAGGGCACAGGCUAGAAGCUGGAGGCAAUGGGUCCAUCUCUCGGUCAGUUGGGGACAGCAGCCAAUCACCUUGUUGACGUGGCAAAAGAAAGCCUGGAGUUCGAGGCUCCUAACGUAGGAAAUGCUUAUUCCAAUCGGCCCAUCACUCCUAUCAGCGAAACUUCUGUCAGGCCGCAGUUGGGGCACUUUGAGCAAUUCUGUGACCUGUACCUAAGAAAAGAUGCGCUGGCAUUGUAGAGGAUCUAGAGAAGGUUAACGGGAAUGAUUCCAAGAAUGAAAGGGUUAACGUAUGAGGAGCGUUUGAUGGCUCUGGGUCUGUAUUCGCUGGGGUUUAGUAAAAUAGGGGUGGUGGGGGUGGGAUCUCAUUGAAAUCUAUCGAAUGUUAAAAGUCUGGUGGAUGUGGAGAAGAUGUUUCCUAGGUGGAAGAGUCUAGGACCAAAAGGCACAGCCUCGGGAAAGCGGGACGCUGAUUUAGAGCAGAGAUGAGGAAAACUUUAUUUAGCUAGAGUGUACUGAAUCUGUGUAAUCCGUUGCCCCGGGCAGCUGUCGAAGCCAAGUGUCUGAGUGUAUUUAAAGCGAAGGUUGACGCGAUCUGGAUUAGUAAAAUGUUUAUUUAAAGCGGGUUCUGGAUUAGUAAAAUGUUACGGGGUGAAGGCAGAAGAAUGGGGUUACGAGGGAAAAUAAAUCAGGCAGGAUGGAAUAGAGUCGAUGGGCCGAGUGGCUCGAUUCCGCUCCUAUAGGUUAUGGUAUUAUGGACAUUUAUUGUAUCGGGAGGUUAUAUUUCUUGGGAUGCGUGUCAAGUGUUCGGACGGGGUAAAGCUCCGAGACACUUGUGGGAGGGCGGGGGCUGGUGGAGGAGGUGGCUUGGGUUUACCACCUCUCUCCAAUAUCGGAACCCGCUGACAGUGCGGAACACAGCGGUGCGAUGGAAACCACCCGAGCGGUCUCGUACUCAAACACCCCCACCAUCGGGCUCGCCAGGGUGCAGCCGAAAGCUUCAACGACGUGCCGGACCAGCGCUCCAGUGAGCGCCAGCAGCACUGCACCCCUGGUUUCCUUCUGAUUCUGACCAUCAUUCCACAGUCAAAGCCACUUAGAUCACAUUUCUUCCUCAUUCUGAUGUUUGGUCUGAACAACCGCUGACCCUCUUGGCCAUGUCUGCAUGCAGUUACGCAUUGAGUUGCUGCCACAUGAUUGGCUGAUUAGUGAACAGGUGCACCUAAUAAAAUGGUCACUGGAUGUAUUCCGGAGUUUCCAUGAGUUUUCUGAUGUGUAAAGAAGUUAUUUGGGCCGCUGGUUGUAACAGCUCGCAGUCUCGUCCCAUACCUAUAUCUGCAUCUCUUUAACCUGUUCUUCCCUCAUUACAGGAAGCAUGUGGAGGUUUUGGAGGGGAGCAAAAGAGGUUCACCAGUAUCAGAGGGUAUGAGCUGCAAGGAGAGGCUUGACAAAUUUGAGGUGGUUUCUCCGGGGCGUCGGAGGCCGAGGGGAAACCUGAUGGAAGUGUGCUU
Molecule: RNA transcript, 4266 nt
Organism: Hypanus sabinus (Atlantic stingray)
Lineage: Eukaryota; Metazoa; Chordata; Chondrichthyes; Myliobatiformes; Dasyatidae
Gene name: lymphotoxin-beta-like
Exons: 5
Source: RefSeq, a predicted model, not a curated record